This 65-nucleotide transfer RNA is filed under the name Cyclograpsus granulosus. RNAcentral describes it as "tRNA-Asn". The record is from RNAcentral. Lineage: Eukaryota; Metazoa; Arthropoda; Malacostraca; Decapoda; Varunidae.
UUGGUAGAAACCAAAAAGAGGUAUAUCACUGUUAAUGAUAAAAUUGAAUUAUUAUUCCUGCCAAG